ACUGACACUUUUCGGACUCAGCCUGCCUGCACCCAGGUGAUUAAAAGCUUUAUUGCUCACACAAAGCCUGUUUGGUGGUCUCUUCACAUGGAUGCGCAUGAAAUUUGGUGCGGUGACUCGGAUCGGGGGACCUCCCUUGGGAGAUCAAUCCCCUGUCCUCCUGUUCUUUGCUCCGUGAGAAAGAGCCACCUACGACCUCAGGUCCUCAGACCAACCAGGCCAAGAAACAUCUCACCAAUUUCAAAUCCGCCACUCCCAGAGCCCCUGGAACUCUGGCCCAAGGCUCUCUGACUGACUCCUUCCCAGAUCUUCUCGGCUUAGCGGCUGAAGACUGACACUGCUCAAUCACCUUGGAAGCCCCCUAGACCAUCACGGACGCCGAGCUUCAGCAGGAGAAGACAAGGAGAUGGAGAGACUGUCAACCUAGAACCAGUAAUGACCAGUUCCAACUUAAUUACAGAAAGGGAGAAAAGAUCAAUCAUUUAAGUUGCUUCAUCGUCUAAAUAAAAGUGUUUUGGCUGUUGAAACAUG
This 531-nucleotide long non-coding RNA is filed under the name Homo sapiens (human). RNAcentral's name for it is "novel transcript". Lineage: Eukaryota; Metazoa; Chordata; Mammalia; Primates; Hominidae. The record is from RNAcentral.